This 496-nucleotide ribosomal RNA is filed under the name uncultured bacterium. RNAcentral describes it as "partial 16S ribosomal RNA". It matches the Rfam family "Bacterial small subunit ribosomal RNA", at positions 29 to 507 of the family's 1533-position model. The record is from RNAcentral.
ACGAACGCUGGCGGCGUGCCUCAUACCUGCCAGUAGAACGCUGAAGAGAGGAGCUUGCUCUUCUUGGAUGAGUUGCGAACGGGUGAGUAACGCGUAGGUAACCUGCCUUGUAGCGGGGGAUAACUAUUGGAAACGAUAGCUAAUACCGCAUAACAAUGGAUGACACAUGUCAUUUAUUUGAAAGGGGCAAUUGCUCCACUACAAGAUGGACCUGCGUUGUAUUAGCUAGUAGGUGAGGUAAUGGCUCACCUAGGCGACGAUACAUAGCCGACCUGAGAGGGUGAUCGGCCACACUGGGACUGAGACACGGCCCAGACUCCUACGGGAGGCAGCAGUAGGGAAUCUUCGGCAAUGGGGGCAACCCUGACCGAGCAACGCCGCGUGAGUGAAGAAGGUUUUCGGAUCGUAAAGCUCUGUUGUAAGUCAAGAACGGGUGUGAGAGUGGAAAGUUCACACUGUGACGGUAGCUUACCAGAAAGGGACGGCUAACUACGUG